AGGCGGCGGGCACGGACGGCAGGCACAGCGCAGCACUCCCCGCUCGUUGGCCCGGGUAUCCCAGCGCGGACCCACGCGAUACGCUGACGCCCCGACGCCGAUCCGGCCGAGCCAAGUAAGGGGGGCGGCCCGGGACGGAGAAGGGAGAGAGUGGGAGUUUCCCAGCCCGCAGAACUUUCGAAGUUGAGAAAAGAACCCCUGGAACGUGCGCUCAUCACUGGGAUUUUCUGGACCCAACGAUGACUCUGAAUAAUGUCACCAUGCGCCAGGGCACUGUGGGCAUGCAGCCACAGCAGCAGCGCUGGAGCAUCCCAGCCGAUGGCAGGCAUCUGAUGGUCCAGAAAGAGCCCCACCAGUACAGCCACCGCAACCGCCAUUCUGCUACCCCUGAGGACCACUGCCGCCGAAGCUGGUCCUCUGACUCCACAGACUCAGUCAUCUCCUCUGAGUCAGGGAACACCUACUACCGAGUGGUGCUCAUAGGGGAGCAGGGGGUGGGCAAGUCCACUCUGGCCAACAUCUUUGCAGGUGUGCAUGACAGCAUGGACAGCGACUGCGAGGUGCUGGGAGGUAGGUGUCCCAGCCCCAGUGGGCUUCUUUCCAUCAGGGGUGGCCCAGGAAGAAAGAGCAAGGGUGGAUGACUUAUAUACCUGCAGAGUUGGGAGCUGAAGUUAGGCAUUUUGGACAAUUGAUGGGGGAGCUGAGUCUCCAGAAAAGCCCAAGCACAGGCUCUCGGGGCAA
This 741-nucleotide small RNA is filed under the name Pongo abelii (Sumatran orangutan). Its description in RNAcentral is "retained intron". The record is from RNAcentral. Lineage: Eukaryota; Metazoa; Chordata; Mammalia; Primates; Hominidae.